RNAcentral lists this ribosomal RNA (482 nucleotides) under uncultured bacterium. RNAcentral describes it as "partial 16S ribosomal RNA". It matches the Rfam family "Bacterial small subunit ribosomal RNA", at positions 30 to 507 of the family's 1533-position model. The record is from RNAcentral.
AUUGAACGCUGGCGGCAUGCCUUACACAUGCAAAUCGAACGGUAACGGGCCUUCGGGUGCCGACGAGUGGCGAACGGGUGCGUAUUACAUCGGAACGUGCCCGAUCGUGGGGGAUAACGAGGCGAAAGCUUUGCUAAUACCGCAUACGAUCUACGGAUGAAAGCAGGGGACCGCAAGGCCUUGCGCGGACGGAGCGGCCGAUGGCAGAUUAGGUAGUUGGUGGGAUAAAAGCUUACCAAGCCGACGAUCUGUAGCUGGUCUGAGAGGAUGAUCAGCCACACUGGGACUGAGACACGGCCCAGACUCCUACGGGAGGCAGCAGUGGGGAAUUUUGGACAAUGGGCGCAAGCCUGAUCCAGCCAUGCCGCGUGCAGGAUGAAGGCCUUCGGGUUGUAAACUGAUUUUGUACGGAACGAAAAGCCUUCUUUUAAUACAGGAGGGUCAUGACGGUACCGUAAGAAUAAGCACCGGCUAACUACGUG